CAACUGGGUUUUACAAAGUAACUUCCUCGUUUCGUUUUCACGGUGCAGUGUGCAGUGCUUCCCUCUUGCUGUGCCCCAGGGCCUCUGCCAGGCCCUCUGUUCUCGUCUGUCCCAUCCUCACCCUUGUCUGAAGCUGCUAGUGGUCUCCUUUCAUCUUCAUUGGGGGCUGCGGUGCUCCCCAUGCCUCCGUGAGGGCUUGUUCUCCUGGGCUACGGACACUGGGAGUGAGUGUGGCAAAGGCUGAAGGAAAAUGGUCCUUCCUGUUGCGGGACGGAGUGUGGCUCUGAGAGUCCCCUCACCCUGGGGCAGCCGGCAUCCAGUCUGUCCUUCCGAGGCCCAGCUGUCCAGGACUUCAGGGGUAACCGUCCACCCCAACACACAUUUCCUCAUUUCGCUUUCUUCCUGGCACGGCCACUUUGCCAUGAUGAAGACAUUUUCCUCAUGAGAAGCUCUGUCCCGCCCCUGGAGUUUUGUCAGGCUGAACUCCCACCACUUGAGACGCAACAGCUCUGGGCAAGGCCACCUCUCCAGGCUUGGUGUCGACCCAGAGGCUCAUCAGAAUUUCAUCCUGAAAAAUGAGGCAGGUCUAAUAUUUCAUUUCUCAAUUCAUUUUUCCAAGAGAAUAAAUAGAAAACAAAUUC
Molecule: long non-coding RNA, 641 nt
Organism: Mustela lutreola (European mink)
Lineage: Eukaryota; Metazoa; Chordata; Mammalia; Carnivora; Mustelidae
Exons: 2
Source: RefSeq, a predicted model, not a curated record